AUCCUUUGGAGCCAAAGACUCGAACAGACAUGCGAGACCUCUACCAACUGAAGGUUUCGUGAGCGCACUCCUUUGCCAAGAUCUUGGUGAAUAGUCUUUCACUGUGCAAUUUUAUCUUAGAAAUUGUUUUACGUUUGAUCAUGAUUGUGCUUGGCUGGAUGUUUUUUGUUGGACUUGUGUGUUACAUGGGCACGUUUCCAGAGUUGAUGGAACCAUGUGGAAGGGAUAUAAAUAUCCCCCAGGAGGGACUCCAGUGGAAGUAAGCAAGGAUGAUCCUGGUGAAGUAAUGCAGCUGUGAAGCUCACCUGACCAGCUGUACAGUUCCUGUUGUUGGUUUCACAUAAAGUAAUUGCACAUUAUUUUGUCAUAUUUUAUGUUAAGAAGUUACCGCACUUUUUUUUUUUUUUUUUUUUUUUUUUUGAGACAGAGUCUCGCUGUGUCGCCCAGGCUGGAGUGCAGUGGCGCGAUCUCGGCUCACUGCAAGCUCCGCCUCCCGGGUUCAUGCCAUUCCCCUGCCUCAGCCUCCAGAGUAGCUGGGACUACAGGCGCCUGCCACCACGCCUGGCUAUUUUUUUGUGUUUUUAGUAGAGACGGGGUUUCACCGUGUUAUCCAGGAUGGUCUCGAUCUCCUGACCUCAUGAUCUGCCCGCCUCGGCCUCCCAAAGUGCUGGGAUUACAGGCGUGAGCCAAUGUGCCCGGCAUUACCGCAUUUUUUAAGAUGAAUGAAGACUUAGUAUUCUGUUAGCUUGUAACAGAGAGACAGAGGGUGGGGAAGUAGUUGAGUGGAUGGGAGACAAUUGGGUCCUUCUGCUACAUGGUCUCUAAGACUGGCAUUAAGAUACCUAGUUUUGCCUGGCGCGAUGGCUCACACGUGUGAUCUCAGCACUUUGGGAGGCCAACACAGGUGGAUCAUCUAGGGUCAGGAGUUCAAGACCAGCCUUGCCAACAUGGUGAAACCCCGUCUCUACUAAAAAUACAAAAAAUUAGCUAGGGCGUGGUGUGGUGGCACGUCUGUAGUCCCAGCUACUCGGGAGGCAGUGGUUGCAGUGAGCUGAGAUCGGCCACUGCACUCCAGCCUGGGUGACAGAGUGAGACUCAGUCUCAAAAGAAAAAAAAAAAAGAACCCUAAGCUUAUACCAUGUGGGGUAAGAAACUCAUUUUUAAUAUUAGGGUUAAAUACUGAAGUAUAAUUAUCCUAAUCCUUAAAAUAACCUUCUGAAGCUAUUAGCCUCAUCUUACAAAAUGGCAAAAAUGAAGUUGAGGGGCAUGUUUAUCUUGCCAACACACACAGCCCUGGGCUGCAGAGUCAAGAUUAAGAUCCAGGCCUUCUCCCUUCACACUUUCAUGUGCCAAGGAAAAGAGCCAAACAAGAGACUGUGGGAUAUCCAAGAUCUUGCUGUUUAAAUGUCUCCCUCACCUGAAAACCCAAGAAGUUAGGCCAGGCGUGGUGGCUCACACCUGUAAUCCCAGCACUUUGGGAGGCCGAGGCAGGCGGAUCACUUGAGGUCAGGAGUUCGAGACCCGCUUGGCCAACAUGGUGAAACCCCGUAUCUACUAAAAAUACAAAAAUUAGCCAGGUGUGGUGGUGGGCACCAGUAAUCCUAGCUACUUGGGAGGCUGAGGCAGAAUUGCUUGAACCCGGGAGGUGGGGGUUACAGUGAGCCGAGAUUGCACCACUGCACUCCAGCCUGGGUGACAAAGCAAGACCUUGUCUCAAAAAGAAAAAAAAAAAGAGAAAAGAAAACCCAGGAAGUUGCCUGAUAAUUCUUUUUCAUGACUACUGAAAAGAUGGGAGCCUGAGAGAGACCUAACAGGAGUAAAUACUUUAAAAACAAAUUGUAUGGAACUGUACCCAUUCUGAGGAUGACUGAUACAGUUCCAGUAUUCAAAAGAAGUAUACCUUUUCCAGCAAAGCAGAUCUUUUGUUUACAUAGAAAACAUUUUGUUAUUUGGGAAGUUUGCUUAACUAUUUGUAAGUGGCUCUUUGCAAUUAAUGGAUUACCUUUUUUUAAUGGAAAGAAAAUAAAUUCAAAAUCCAUAAGCAAAACUUUAGUAAUUUCUGACUCUAGGAUACUAGCAUCUUCUAUUUCUUAUGUGAUUUAGACUCAACAUUUUCCAGUGAGUUAAGUACUUACAUCCUCUGGCUGUAUAGCUCUGCCCAUUUGCCUCGUAAUACAUUUUUUUUUGAGACAGUCUCGUUCUGUCACCCAGGAUAGAGUGCAGUGGUGCAAUCUCGGCUCACUGCAACCUCCACCUCCCAGGUUUAAGUGAUUCUUAUACCUCAGCCCCCUGAGUAGCAGGGAUUACAACGCACGCCACAUUUUUGUAUUUUUAGUAGAGACGGAGUUUUGCCAUGUUGGCCAGGCUGGUCUCGAACUCCCAGCCUCAAGUGAUCCACCUGCUUCUACCUCCCAAAGUGCUGGGAUUACAGGUGUGAGCCACUGUGCCCAGCCUGCCUCAUAUACAUUUCUAAGGACUCCUCUUCUCAGCCAUCUCAAGCUGCUUUUAUCAUAAGAGAUAGGACCCUGCUCAUUUUGACAAGAGGAACCAUAUACCCAGCUGUGUCCUCCCUCCAUUUGAGUAAACUUCCAAAACUUGAGCCACUAAAAGAUUCCAUUGCUCUGACCACCUAACAGUUCUCCCAACAUGGGUCAGAGAGCAGAACAGUUCUCUAAGCUGGUAGGGGGAGAGAAGCUCUAUCAUGUUAGAGCAGACAUGAAUGUGUAAGGGAGAAUAAGCAGAGGAGUGUGUGCAAUAGGCAAACCAUAUCUCUGAAGUGUGAUGAGUAUACCGAGGUUUCUAGCUGGAAAAAUGUUCAGGGUGAUGAGAUAAAGAAUAUCUCAAAGUUUUAAUCAAUAAAUGCAAACCAGCAAAAAUAUCAAUAAAAUAUUUUUAAUGCCUACAAUUUCUUGUAUACAUAAAUUGCAAAACUUUCACCUGUAUAUGCAAAAGUAUAUUCUCUUGCAGGUCAACAGCACCAGAAAACAAGCUAAGCUAUCUAAAAAUUUUUUUAACUUGAUUUGUCCAUUGUGUAAAAGACAGGAUGGAUUUAAUUACUCCAAAGAAAUCUCUAUCUCACUCUUAAUCAUACACUAAACGUCUGAAUAUUUAAUCACAUCCACUCAGAAAAUAAAUAGUAGUCUAAUAUAUUCAAUACAUUGAAAAUAAAACAACCAGUCUCUCUUCAUAUAUUUAUUCUCUUUCCAAACAUGUUUUGGUCUCCUGCUAUAUCUCAGAAAUUUACCAAUAGCUGCUUUUAAGUUACAAAAUACAAAACAACAAUUUAUUUCUUGGAGAAAAUCUUGGGGAUUACAUUAAAAAUGAAAAUUUGAGUUCCCACAUUCUUUUUUUUUUGACAUGGAGUCUCGCUCUGUCACCCAGCCUGGAGUGCAGUGGUGCUAUCUUGGCUGACUGCAACCUCCGCCUCCCAGGUUCUAGCGAUUCUCCUGCCUCAGCCUCCCCGGUAGCUGGGAUUACAGGUGUGUGCCACCGCACCCGGCUAAUUUUUUUAUUUUUAGUAGAGACGGGGUCUCACACCAUGUUGGCCAGGCUGGUCUCGAACUCCUGGUCUCAAGUGAUCCGCCCGCCUCGGCCUCCCAAAGUGCUGGGAUUACAGGCUUGAGCCACCAUGCCCGGCCAGACUUACUUUUUUGUUAACGGUCUUUGAACCUUUUCACGGCACACAUGUAAGGCCGCCUGUGACAUGUGGUACCCUGGCCUCCAACUGGACACAACUGCAUUUAUAGUUUAGCGAAAAUACAAAGUUCUGAAAGUAGCCUUAAAAGAAGUGCCCUUUGCUUUGACAUAGCAAUAUCAAAAGCAAGUGGGACUGUGCAAUCAGAGCCAUGAGUUUUAUGAAAACUACUUUCCUUUCACAUCAUUUGUUAGAGAAUGCCACACCCAUGAUCAUGUAACAUUAUUACAAUCAUGAAAUAUUACUACAUUCGUGAUUAACAUUACCCAAAAGGCACAUCUUCAAAUGUUGAAUUAAGAAAAUCCAAAAAUCAAAACAGUAGAGAAUACAUUAAAAAUCAAGCAUUUAAUUUGUAAACCUUAAUGAAAUAACAGCCUACUCCAGUUUCUUCAAAGGUUUGUGAGCUUUUUAUAAGAGUGGUCAGGAAGUGCAGAAAAACAACAUGGAAGACAGGAUUUGGAAACAAGGCCAAAAUUUAAAAGACUUAACCUUUUUUUUCUUUUAAAUGAGCCACAGAAGUGCUCUUUUAUAAUGUUGACGCAAAUCAACAUUUAUAUUAUAGAAAUGCACUCAGAAGUAACAGACACACAAGGUUAAAACCUGAUUCUUCCCACUAAGUUCUGGAAAUUUAUUCUAACAUAAUGGUGCCUUUCUGUACAAAGAACUGUACCAUAUCAUAAAUUUACUGCUAGUAAACUUUAAGCCACCAGAAAUCUUUCAGCUGUGACAAGCACUUGAUUGUAAUGACAGAUUUCAGAGUCUGAAUACUGAAAAAUAUAUAUAUCCAAUAAAAAAUUUUUGAAGGGGGAAUAAAAGCACAUAAAUGGCAGCAGAGGAAUUGAUGUUCUAAGCCUGUUUUAUUACAUGGGACAUCACACUACCCUUAAUUUCACUGAAGGUAUCUGAAAUGGGUGAGAUGAAAUCAAUAGGAUUUUCUGCUACCAUUGUAACAGUUCUAUAUGUAGUUACAAAGGGUGUUAUUCCUAGUGAUGAUGACACCUUUCAUGGGAUUCAACUUAAAAAUUAAAUCCUUGCACUUUCAAAGUUUGAAACUCAAUUCAAAAUGAGUCCGUCUUAAAAGCCUGGCUCAUAUGGUCCCAUUAAGGGAGGCUAACAAUGGUAAUCUAUAAUACCCAAACUUGAAGAAUAAAGACUUUAUGGAUAAAAAGGAAUAAACCAAAAUAUUUGGGCUGUUGAAGUAUAAGGGCCUGUUGUAGGACAAUCCCUCCUACUUCCUAAUCCCCCCCAUACAAUGGCUUAAGAUAGCCAAAACGUUUAUUGUAGAACGUUUAUUAUUCCUACAAGCUUAUGUCUCACUUCCCCUAAGCCUCUGUACUUACAGUCAAGGACAAAUGCUCUCUAGCAUCAUAUCUCAUUUUCUGUUGCUGACAGUUCUUGAGACUUGGCUUCCUUCCAGCAUGAUCCUAAGUCAGCCUGAUUGGAACUGCUUGGACUUGAAGGUUAAGGGCUAUUAAGUCCAUAUUUAUGACUUUAAAAAGGGUAAAAAUGAGUUUCCACAGCUCAGUAAAAUAACGAUAACAGGGAACAUCCCUUCCUACCUGGGGAAAAAAAUCUCUUCACAGUGCAUAGUUUGAAAUCAAAGUGCAAUAUGGGCAAAAAGAGAAGGUGGUGCUCUCGAUACCAUAAAUUUAGUUUUUGGUUUUCUGCCAUUAAUAUUUGCUAACAAAUUCAAGCUAAAAAAUGAAGUCAUUAAUGUCAAGAGGUAUGAGGGCACCUUGGGAUUUCAAAAUAUCUUUAUGAUGGGGGAGGGGAGGAGGGGAGAGCCUCACAUGUUACUUCCUUAUUUUAUAAACUAUUACUCUUUCAAAUCUAAUGUUUGAAUAAAAUAUUUUUUCUUCGAUAUAAAAAUGAAUUUUUUUAGAUAAAAAUCAAUCAGCACAGUGACCUUGUCUUACACUAAAGCCAACAUAACAGUAAAUCUGAAAGGAAAACUUAGAAAAGAAUAUUAUACUGUUAUAACCUGUAUUUUAACUUGAAAAUUUUUUCAUUAAUUCCUAGCCACCUAAAUUAAUGAGUAAGAAUGCUCAGCAUCCAAUCCAUGAAUACAGAAUUUAUUCUACUUUGUACUUCAAAGUCACAGGAUGACAUCCAUAUGAUAGUUAUAAAUUCUACUCUACAUUUUCAAGUUCUCAAUCCAUAGAUUAGGACAAGUCACUUUAUUGCUGGCAACAUUCAUGGAAGGUCCAGGUUUCUCAUAAAAAGACUAAGUUUGAUUGGGAGCAGGGCAGUGCCCUACUCACAGAUCAGCAGAAGAAUUACAGAAAUCAAGAGACAACCUUUUUUUUCCUUUCAAAGUAGCAAAGGAACAAUAAAAGAUUGGCUGACUGGUGAGUGGCCCCACAUUAGAGUGCAUAGCUCAUCAGGAUCAAGGCUGGCAUCUGUGAACAGUUAACUUCAUAAGAGCACAAGUGGGCAUUAUAUCAUCUGCAUUACAGAUUUCACCCUGGAAAAUAUCUGAAAAUAUUUUAUGCUCAAAUGACAGCCUGCAAAUGACAGUAUGCAUUCCUUCUCCUUGAGUACCCAAGUAUAAAUCUAAAAUGAUAAGGGGGCUUCUUCAGUCUGAAGGCAGGAAAUCCUUGCAGCAGAGCAGCUCUAGAAUUUCACAAAAAUAAAAGCAGCAGCUAACGCCUCUUCAGCUUCUUGGCCCUUCGACGUUGCAUUUCUUCUUCUUCACGUCUCAUUUCCUCUAAGUCCUCUUGCAUACCCAGUCUUAAGCUGCCAAAGAAUUUUUAAAGGGUAUUUGUCAAUAUACAUGAGAUGACCACUUUCCUUAAAAAGAAUGAAAAUUCCAACUGGGAGCUCACAUGGAUUGUGCUGAUGCUCUCAAAAUGCCUCAAGGCUUUACCACUGAAAACAAACUAGCAGGGAUAUUUUUUUACCAGGGGCCACAGACUCAAAUUGUCGUGGGAAAAAGAACUCACACACCACAAAAACCUUACUAUUUCCAUUAAAAUAAUAAAAUAUAGGUUUAUCUCAAUAGCUUUUAAAAAUAAACAGCAAGAAGCAUUUAUUCAUUAACUAACAUUCUAUUCUUGUUCUCUUCCAACACUUUAGUUUGAAAUUUUAUGGGCAAGAGGGAGAAAAAGAUAUAGUAUUCUGGCUUGAGACUGAAGUGAAUUAUUUACCUAUAAUAACAUUAUGGCCGGGCACAGUGGCUCACACCUGUAAUCCCAGCACUUUAGGAAGCCGAGCCAGGCGGAUCACCUGAGGUCAGGAGUUUGAGACCAGCCUGGCCAACAUAUGGUGAAACCCCAUCUCUACUAAAAAUUACAAAAAUUAGCUGGGCGUGGUAGCGCACACCUGUAGUCCCAGCUACUUGGGAAGCUGAGGCAGAAGAAUCGCUUGAACCCGGGGAGGUGGGGGUUGCAGUGAGCCGUGACCAUGCCACCGCACUCCAGCCUUGGCGACA
RNAcentral lists this long non-coding RNA (7124 nucleotides) under Homo sapiens (human). Its description in RNAcentral is "HSALNT0361720". The record is from RNAcentral. Lineage: Eukaryota; Metazoa; Chordata; Mammalia; Primates; Hominidae.